RNAcentral lists this long non-coding RNA (4919 nucleotides) under Pan troglodytes (chimpanzee). RNAcentral describes it as "lncRNA (ENSPTRG00000052886.1)". The record is from RNAcentral. Lineage: Eukaryota; Metazoa; Chordata; Mammalia; Primates; Hominidae.
CCAGCACCCAGCGUGCACGGGACGGCCCCACGACAGAGGAACCAGCCGCGGAGGUCAGCGAGCGCGCGGGAGGGCCUGUGGUGGACCACCUCCACCAAGCUCAGAGAUUUGCAGCCAGGUGCUUGUUGGCCUGCCUGCUCAGGAUGAAAGAGGAGCUGAGAGAAGUGCUCUGCCUGCAGUGCAGUGCCCAGCUCCAAGGCUCUAGAGGGUGUUCAGGUACACUGAGGAGGGGACGGCUCCGUCUUCACAUUGUGCACAGAUCUGAGGAUGGGAUUAGCGAAGCUGUGGAGACUGCACAUCCGGACCUGCCCAUGUCUCAAAACAAACACAUGUACAGUGGCUCUUUUUCCUUCUCAAACACUUUACCCCAGAAGCAGGUGGUCUGCCCCAGGCAUAAAGAAGGAAAAUUGGCCAUCUUUCCCACCUCUAAAUUCUGUAAAAUUAUAGACUUGCUCAAAAGAUUCCUUUUUAUCAUCCCCACACUGUGUAAGUGGAAAGGGCAUUGUGUUCCGUGUGUGUCCAGUUUACAGCGUCUCUGCCCCCUAGCGUGUUUUGUGACAAUCUCCCUGGGUGAGGAGUGGGUGCACCCAGCCCUGAGGCCAGUGGUUGCUCGGGGCCUUCCGUGUGAGUUCUAGUGUUCACUUGAUGCCGGGGAAUAGAAUUAGAGAAAACUCUGACCUGCCGGGUUCCAGGGACUGGUGGAGGUGGAUGGCAGGUCCGACUCGACCGUGACUUAGUUGUAAGGGUGUGUCGGCUUUUUCAGUCUCGUGUGAAAAUCCUCCUGUCUCUGGCAGCACCGUCUGCACUUUCUUGUUUACUGUUUGAAGGGACGAGUACCAAGCCACAAGAACACUUCUUUUGGCCACAGCAUAAGCUGAUGGUAUGUAAGGAACCGAUGGGCCAUUAAACAUGAACUGAACGGUUAAAAGCACAGUCUAUGGAAUGCUAAUGGAGUCAGCCCCUAAAGCUGUUUGUUUUUUCAGGCUUUGGAUUACAUGCUUUUAAUUUGAUUUUAGAAUCUGGACACUUUCUAUGAAUGUAAUUCGGCUGAGAAACAUGUUGCUAAGAUGCAAUCCUCAGUGUUCUCUGUAUGUAAAUCUGUGUAUACACCACACGUUACAACUGCAUGAGCUUCCUCUCGCACAAGACCAGCUGGAACUGAGCAUGAGACGCUGUCAAAUACAGACAAAGGAUUUGAGAUGUUCUCAAUAAAAAGAAAAUGUUUCACUACUCUGGUGUUGCUGAGACUUUCUUUUCCUUUCAAAUUAUUUCUGCCCUUGGCUCCACUAGCAGGCCUGGGGAUGGACACCCACAUGCAUAACCUGAAAAGGUGGCUGAGUCCCGCCCAAGAGCUGCAGCUCUGCCUCCACGUGGUCUUGUCACCUGCUGUGCUUGCACCAGUGCUACUGGAAUUUCCCCACCUUGGGACAGUCUCCCCUCAGUCCCCACCCCUGUUAGAUUCUUGAUUUCUUCACUGUCUUCCUGGAGAGCGUGUUGGCGCCUCUCCUAUAUAUAAGGUGGUGUAGAGGAAAAGUAGGCAGCUGCCCCACUCCCAUCCUGCAUAUAAAAUGGAUGUUGACACAUGCCCGUGUGACUCGUUACCCUCACGUUACUUGUGGCUAGAACACAGGAAGAACCUACACACUCAAUCAGAGGCAAGGGUGACACGGGUGCUGAGGUGCAGUGAAAAAAACCAGGUGCUAAGUGACACCAUAGAACUAUGUUAUUUCUAGUUACAACACUGGAAGGACAGUCACAAUAAGUGGAAAGUUGGCAGCAAAGCGGCAUUUCCGUGUCAUAGCUGUAACAGUGUAUAUAUGCUUCACGUACUGUACAAGCACAGGUGGGCCAGGCUGGCUAAGGCGGGAGUCUGGCCGUGGUCUGUGGACAUGGGAUUUGAGAUGGUUUUGAUUUUGUGUUCCUAUGUAAAAAGCAUAUCCAUUUGUCUGAUGUUUCUACAAUUAAAUGAAAAACAAAUAUAGGAAAAUAUUUUGAAAAGUCAAAAGCAUCAUACAAGUAAUAAAGCACUAUUACAGACAGGUAACUUGAUUUUCUCAUUUGCAUCAAUUUUGAAACUAUUUCAUUUCCCACAAUAAAAACGUUAAAAUAUGUUGCAGCAAAAACAAGCUUCAGAGAAAAAAAUGAAGGGAACCCUCUCCCUGAUGAGUGAAUCCUUUGAACAGUGAUUCGGGAGCUGCCUCGGGGGCCGCACCGGAUGGAAUACUCGGACUCGCUAUUCUGUCAUGGAACUGGGGAAAUGUCCUGAAUUUGACCACGUAAGAUGAAAGUUUUGCUUUUUACGAGAUACUGUAUAGUGAAUCUCGUAGAGCCUGACUGUAAAUGUUGAGGUUCUCGAGCUUUUAUUCAGUACAUGCGUAAUGAAGGCCGACCCGGAAGGCACUAUUUCAGGUGCUUGGAACAGGUCAGUGAACACAACACAGACUCCCCCCCAAAUAGCUGCUGCUCUGCAGGAAAGCAAAUAACACACCAGACGCCAGUGUCAGGGAAUGGUGCCUGGGAAGAAAGAAAAAGCAGGUGAGGAUAGUGCAGUGGGGCAGGCUGCAAUGGUAAGUACUGGGAUCAGGGUGGCCUCACGGAGAAGGCUUGCAAGGUAGAUGGUCAGCCAGAGGGGGCCUGGCGAGCCCGGAGCACUGGACCAGGCAUCAGUGUGCCACUGCUGGAGGCUGCAGUGCCAGGAACCUGGCCCACCAGUAGGUGAACGCAGCUGUUAUUUAACGUCACAUUUGAUAAACUCAGAAUGAUAUUAAAAACAAAGGUAAACACUCGAAACUCGUCACUUCCUACUUUUUGCUGCAUUUUACUGUAAUCUGUGUUCUUACUGUGUGCAUACUCUGCGAUGGUGGGCACGCCCCUCCUAGGCUGCGUUUGGGAACUCACAUCAGUAGCUUGGAAUCCGUUGUGGUGGGAGGUUUCACACCACUGAUACCCACAGACACUGUGACUCAGGGCUUGACUCACUGUUGUGAUUGUCUCUAGACCUAGCAAGUGAUGGAGGAAGAUGCAGAUCAAACUGCAAAUGUAGCUGUUACAUUGUGAAUGGCACAGAAAAUUGAAGAAACUGUCUCACAGCCUCUGGAAACUGUUUUCUACUUAAGCAAAGAAGUCACUCAGUCACUGAACAAGUGAAGCUCUGGCAUUCGUCCUGCUGCUUCGCCUUCAUCUGACUCAUCGGUGAAAACAUCCCCAGCAUUCUUGUCAGAACCACACUCAUUCAUCAGCUGCAACCCUGUGUUGGCUUCAGAUGUAGGGCUCAGCAAGACUCAAUGAAAGCAUUCCAUAAAAACUGGCUCUGUGGGAUUUACAACAGUACUGUAUAUUUUAUUCAUGUUUCUAAGUUGCAUGCUGCUCCUUUUAUAUCUGUAACAUGUACAGUAAGCUUAUGUACACACAUAUGUGCCCACACUGGAGCAGGGUAGCCUGUUUAGCAUUUACUAGCACACCACUGGGUCCCAGAUGUCCUUGGGAACAGAUCAAGGCAGUGCAAAGGCCCUGUGCUGGUGAGGGGCUGAGAGUUGGUGGGAACUAAUCAGCCUCUGGCAGGUGCCUCCCCCAUCCCACCCUCCAGGACUGGUGAGAUUGGUCUGUGUGGUACAGCUGCAGGAGAAAAAAGUGUGAGGCCAGACCUGAGGGAUGAGGAGUGAGUGUGGGUUUCUGCUGGCCCACCUCCCGCUAUGCCCUCAGGCACUGAGGUCCCACCUUCUGCCUUCUGGCCAAGCAGCCAAUGCCUCCAGGGGAAAAUGACCUCAUAAGGAGAAAUGAGAAAUCUGCAGAGCACAACUAUCUAAAGCUCAAAAUGGUAAUACUGAAUAGAGAUCCUAUUAGAAUAGAUUCUAGCGUUUUAGAACACAGUCCAGGAAGAGAUCAGAAAACAGAACCAAGCAGAAUUUGAAAAAGUGAACACAACAGAUGAACUAAAUAAUGGAAUGAACUUACCAUUGGAAGACCACAUGGAAAAGGAGAGGGUAACAAAAAAGAAAAUAUAGAAAUACUAAAAUAUUUGGCUGAUAGAAGUGCUAACAUCUGGCUAAUAUGAUGUUCAUGGACUUUGCCACACCCACAGACUGAAGGCAUCACAGAUGAAAGGAUGUGUCUGAGACGGGCUUAAAACAGCAACAGGAGCCGGGCAUGGUGGCUGACGCCUGUAAUCCCAGCACUUUGGGAGGCUGAGGUGGGCAGAUCAUGAGGUCAGGCAUUUGAGACCAGCCUGGCCAGUAUGGUGAAACUCUGUCUCUACUAAAAAUACAAAAAUUAGCCGGGCGUGGUGGCAUGCACCUGUAGUCCCAGCUACUCAGGAGGCUGAGGCAAAAGAAUCGCUUGAACCCAGAAGGCAGAGGUUGCAGUGAGCCAAGACCACACCACUGUACUCCAGCCUGGGCGACUGAGCGAGCCUCCAUCUCAAAAAAAAAAAAAAAAAACCUUGGCCUCCAAAGUGCUGGGAUUACAGACAUGAGCCACCACGCUCAGCUGUCCAGUUUUGUUUUUUGUGGNNNNNNNNNNNNNNNNNNNNNNNNNCUGUGGGGGGAACUGGUUUCGGGAGCCUGGCGGGGGCUGUACAGGGGCGGCUGUGGGGGGGAACUGGUCCGGAGCCCUGGGGCAAGCUGUUGGGGGACUGGGUUCGGGGCCCUGGGCGGGGGGGGGUGUAGGGGGCGGCUUGGGGGAACUGUUCGGGGAGCCCUGGGCGGGCGGGGGGGGGUGACUGUAGGAAGGAACUGGGUUCCGGGAGCCCUGGCCGGGGCGGGGGGCAGCUGUAGAAGGAGUUGGGUUCAGGAGCCCUGGGCGGGUGGCUGUUGGGGGGAACGGGUUCAGGGCCCUGGGCGGGGCGCUGUGGGGAGGAACUGUGUUGGGGAGCCCUGGGCGGGGGGUGUACGGGGCGGCUGUUGGGGGGAACUGGGUUGGGG